GGUCCUUGCUUUCAUGGAGUUUGUGACAAUAAACAAGUAGAGAAGUAAACAAGCGAGAUAAUUACAGACUAUUGGAAGUGCUAAGAAAAACAAGUAAAGAAAUGAGAUAGUCAUUGGGAAGCCUAUUUUUGAUAGAAUGGGUCAGGGCAGAUACUCUAAGGAGGCCACGCUGAAGCUAAGACAUGAAGAUUGAGAAGAAGCCAGUCAUGGAAAAAGCUAGGAGAAUAAGUAAUUCAGGCAGAGGGAACAGCAUGUGCAAAGGUCCUAAGGCAAGAAACUUCUAGAAACCAGCAACAGAGAAGUCAGAUUCUAUGGGACUCUAGAGCCAUAUUACAUGGUCUGAUAUUUAUUCUAGGAUAAGAGGGAGCUACUGAAGAAUUUUAAAUGAAGGAAUAAUAGAUGACCUGACUUAUAUUGUUUAACCAUCUCCCUGGCUGGUACGGGAAAACAUUGAGCGGAAGCAGGAGAAAUGGGAGUAAGGGAGGAGAGAGGAAGCUGGUGCCCUGUCUAGGCAAGAGGUCAUGGACUUGGGUUGGCCCUGGUGGUUACAGAGGAAAUGCAGAAAAAUGAUCAGAUUCUAGAGCUGUGGGUGAAAUUGAC
This 600-nucleotide long non-coding RNA is filed under the name Marmota monax (woodchuck). The record is from RNAcentral. Lineage: Eukaryota; Metazoa; Chordata; Mammalia; Rodentia; Sciuridae.